Molecule: ribosomal RNA, 571 nt
Filed under: Hanseniaspora sp. CRUB 1604
Lineage: Eukaryota; Fungi; Ascomycota; Saccharomycetes; Saccharomycodales; Saccharomycodaceae
Also listed under: 1 other name
Description: eukaryotic LSU rRNA
Rfam family: Eukaryotic large subunit ribosomal RNA
Source: RNAcentral
AAACCAACCGGGAUUGCCUCAGUAACGGCGAGUGAAGCGGCAAAAGCUCAAAUUUGAAAUCUGGCACUUUCAGUGUCCGAGUUGUAAUUUGUAGAAGUAGUUUUGGGGCUGGUCCUUAUCUAUGUUCCUUGGAACAGGACGUCAUAGAGGGUGAGAAUCCCGUGUGAUGAGGAUCCCAGCUCUGUGUAAAACCGCUUUCGAAGAGUCGAGUUGUUUGGGAAUGCAGCUCUAAGUGGGUGGUAAAUUCCAUCUAAAGCUAAAUAUUGGCGAGAGACCGAUAGCGAACAAGUACAGUGAUGGAAAGAUGAAAAGAACUUUGAAAAGAGAGUGAAAAAGUACGUGAAAUUGUUGAAAGGGAAGGGCAUUUGAUCAGACAUGGUGUUUUGUUCCCUCCGCUCCUUGUGGGUGGGGGAUCUGCAGCUCACUGGGCCAACAUCAGUUCUGGGAGCCGGAUAAAUCUGCAGGAACGUAGCUUUCUUCGGGAAGUGUUAUAGCCUGUGGGAAUACUGCUACCUGGGACUGAGGACUGCGUCUUUAUGGCAAGGAUGUUGGCAUAAUGGUUAAAUGCCGC